This 5610-nucleotide long non-coding RNA is filed under the name Gallus gallus (chicken). RNAcentral's name for it is "lncRNA (ENSGALG00010016212.1)". Lineage: Eukaryota; Metazoa; Chordata; Aves; Galliformes; Phasianidae. The record is from RNAcentral.
CGACCUUAGCUUUCUACCCUUGAAAAGUAACACGCUCUUUCCUUGAAAUGCAGCAGGAAGAACUAUUUUCCAUGAAUAUCUAAGAAGUUACAAGCCUGAGAACGCUAACCUAAAGGAGCAGUUACCUAUCUUGCUAUGUAACGGCUUUCAAUAUAUACUGAACAGAAAUGUAAAAUAUUCAGUGAAGAACUUAGAAGGAUAUUUGCUAAGAUGAAAGGACUAUCAGAACCUCUAUUGUGUCUCAGUUCUUGAAUGGCCAUAGCGUGGUGUCAGUUUGAGAAGAGAUGGAUUGGAAUGCUGAAUCUGGGACCAGAUAUACUAACACUCCUGGAGUUGAAAAAUUUGACCUGAAUUUUCUGAAGAGUGCCUCAGGUUGUUUUGUUUCGCUGGCAAGGAGGCACUGAGGCAUUAGUCUGCCAGACAGAGAUAUUCUUGAGAAGACAUCUGUUCCCAGGAAGGAAGCACCACCGGUCAUUUGAUCAGUAUCUGCUCAAGUACUCCACACCACGGUGCUGAAGGUCUCUGGGUUCAGUUCUGAGGAUGAUGCAGCAGAGACCACCGGGUAAGUUGCGGAGAUGGAAAAAGUCCCAGAGCUCUUCAGAAGGUACAGAUCCCUCUGAAGGCUCUCAGUACUUGAUUUACUGUUUGUACAGACAGUGCUGAAGCAUAUGGAGUAUACAGAAUGAUCAUCCAACAGUAAGAAAUGCACUACAUGUACUCACCUGCUUCAAUGAUAUGCAUUUGUCCUAAAACCAAUAACUCUCCUCUCCCAGAAAACAGUUUGUACUGAGAUUGCUGUGAACAGGAUUAAUGUGGUCAUUUGAAGAACUGGGAACAAGGAAAACCCUGCAGCCAAAAGACAUUCUUAGGUGUUCAGACAGACAGCCUCACCUACACGGCUGUUAUUUAUACAGAGAUAGACGCACACACAUACGCACACAUCUGCCAGCCUGCUGGAGAGUACGUCAUUGCUGGAGCUGGUGAGCCUUGCCAGUGCUGGCUUUUCGGUGAGAGCCUCAGCUGAACAUACUGUUCAGAUAUGUAUCCAGCUGUUCAUAUAGAACAGUAAUCACAACAGCAACGACUUUCAGAGCAGAGACUUCAGGCAACACUUGAGGCUGCAAACCAUCUCAGUAACUACCAGCUUGAAAGAUUCAGGCUGGUAUCUUCUGAUUCCUUCAUGUCUUCCCCUUAUACUUAAGCUUAACCUCAUCCUCCUGUUACGAGACUCAGGUAACAAAUUACUACCACAGAUGUGCCCCUAGGUGUCCAACACAGCAGCACGCGUGGUACAGAACAUACCGAUGCAUCAUGCAUCAGAACUCAGCUGGCUCUGCACAGUGAUGGCAGUUGAUUUACAGCACAAUAAUAUUCUGGAUGUUCAUUUAUUUAUUUUUUUGUCAACUACAUCUCUGAGCCCUACCUGAAUAUAACAUCUUUGGAUAUUUAGUAUUUUGAUAUAACCAUGACUACCUGUGACUGCUCUGUCUGUCUACAGUGACAGGAAAGGUAUGGAAUCUGCCUGCUGCCAAAAAUACCGGUUAUUGCAGCUUGGCAUAGUACAGACCCUCCCCUAGUACCUUGCUUUAAGGUGUCUUAAGCAAUGGGUUAGUCCCAGAGAGACCUGCUGUAAACACCCACCUUCACCAGUUCUGCAUCAUUCAGCUACCUCAGAUAAUUCGGCUUCAAGACAGGACAAAUUCAGCUUCAAGACAGGACAGUGCUUAUCUGAGAGUCACAGACAGUGAAUGCAGAACUGUCAAUUUCAGUCCAAAAAUUAUUAUUUUCUGGAGUGUGUACUGACGCCUUCAAGCAGUCAAUUAACCUUAGCAGUGCUCUGGGAUAUUCUUGAGGCUUUUUCUGAAUGCUCAAUGAUAACUAUAGUGGAUUAUGCUAUGCACAUACUUCUGUAUUCCUUCUCUGUCUACUGAAAGGCAUGGAGAUGCCAAAAAGACAAAGUUCAACAAGUGCAUGUGCUGUGCAAUGAAACGUCGUUCUGAGAGGAAGGGGAAAAUCUUCUGCAUUUGCUGUCCUUUGGGCCUUACCAAGAGCCUGAACAAUUGAACAGGAAAUGAUUCACUUCAUUUCCUAUGCCAUUGCAUACCACGAGCUUACUCCUACCAUUGUAGUCUCAAGUGCACUGAUGACUGCUUUCAAGCAUCAGCACCUUAUCGGGGAGAUGAUCCCUGUUUGCAGGAUCUCAAACAUCAUCGCUUUCACCUUACAUUCAACUGGCAAUAUUUUACUGACCUACAACCCCUUCCUGUAACCCCUAGCUAUGUUCCUGCAACAAGAGCUAGACUCCUCCAUUUAACAGCAGUGUAUCUAAGCACACAGCUUACUACAGUAACCAAGUGUGCAUGACAAUCUCAGAUUGUACUUUGAACAUUCAAGUAAAUUUAAAACAUGAUGCUAGCAUAUAUAAAUACUUGUAUAUCCACAGAAUUCUGAGCAUCUUGCAGAUUUAUUAUCGCUGUUACAGUUUUUUCAGCAGAAAGGGUAACGCUUAAAAUACACAGAUAAAAGACUCAACUUCUUAUAGCAGAAUCUCAGGAGACAUCCUGCAGGAGAGAACCCAGCAGCAGGCACCCAGCUGUGUGUGUGCUCCCCACGAGCAGUGUGCCAUUGGGGCUCCACCUAAAAACCAUUCAGCAGCAACAACAAAUGAAGUUUCCAAUACUGUGCAAGAGAAGUGACAGCCAAGUAAAUCAAGUACCUUGUCCAAGAUCAUUCCAGAGAUCAACUUCAGUGCCAGGAACAGAACAUACCUUGUCUACUUUCCUGCUGUUUGAUUUUAUUCACUCUGUAGUGGCUGCUCCGUGGCUCCCAUGGACAUCCUCUCUCUCUCUGUGUACAUGUCCUCUAAAUUCUUUACCUCGUCACCCCAUCUUCCCGGCUUACCCUUAAGGCAAUUGAUGCAUGUUUAGUAAUUACAGCCUUCUCUCCAACUCAGUUCCUCCAGAUCCUUUUGUUCUCUCUCAACUAUCACUGUGACUUGGAGGCAACCUGAAAGUGAACACUGUGACUCCAACCUUGCUGCAACACAGAGUGAAGGAGACCAGAGGACAUCCUAUCACUCCUCCAGUUCCUACUGCAGGCAGCCCACGGGAGCAGACCCAGCCUGCAAUAGUGAUUCCUUCCACCUCUACGUUCCUUUCAAGGCAGGCAGGCAGGUUCCUUCUGCCCUGUGCUUUCAACACAGUUUCCAUAUUGCACAGAUUGCCAGUUACCAGCAAUCUCUGCGUAGUUUUCACAUCCUAUAUGCUAAGCAUUAACAGGUGACCUCAAAUCCAAGGCAAAUCUCCCACAUUAAGUAUAACCCAGUACUACAGAUUAGCAUAAUUUCCUGCAGCUCUGCUGAUGAUAGUAAAAAUUAAUACAUCUUAAUAUAUCAGCAAAGCUUGCCAUAGAAGCUGAGGAAUGGGAUCUGCUGUGUCCCAUGCGAGGUUUAUUUUAGAUUUAUACUUGAGAAUGGAGUUGAUCCACAGCAGUCGACUCCAAUUCACCUCUCUAUGGAUAGAUUUUCAGUCGUCAUCUACAACCCAGGCCAGCUGCGCAACCAAGUAGUGAUCUGUACACAGAUGCUUCAUUAUGUGCAGAAAUGAGCAAGAAGUUCAGAAGACAUCUCAGCUGGAAGCUAUCCAUGCCUGUCUGUCUCAUGAUUAGAGGAAACCUGGGAAGUUCAAAUGCAAAACCAAAACAAAGUGUCUGAAGAGACUCACCAGCUCGCUCUGUCCUGCAGUAUAUCCAGAGGCAACAAACUGCGUCAAGAACACAAGAUGAGUUGAAACUGUGUGAGAGCUAAAAUGAUCUGCGGAAAUAAAUCGAUGCAGACAAACCUGUGUUAAGGAGCCACAUGAGAGAUUAGAAAAGAUCAGUAGCUUAACAAGAAGUUUUUGAGGAACAGAAAUAUUAAUCAUACUUAUUAUGCUUUGCAAUGCCUUUAAGGCAGAGCUCGCCUAACGGAGGUGCUGCAUUCCCAUUGAUUUCCCCGUAAGGUCCAUGAUGUGUGAAAAAUUGAGGAGCUGCAAUGAAAAAUUAUUUGCCAGCUAGAUUGGAAAGUUAGCUUUGCAAAAGUAACUUGUAUGCAACUUACGUAAAGCAGGAGAAAAACGUAACGUUCAUGACAGGGUAAGGAAAACAGCUUGGAGUAAUGUGCAAAGCUUGUAAAGCAGGUUGGGUUUCCACAACCAAACUAAGGAAAUUACAAUCACAUCUGCAAAGAUUUCUUCCCACCUGGGCAACCCUUCAAGCUCACGUCGUUGGGAAUUUUCUGUGCCAAGCAGAGGGAGGAUGACUUACUGGGUGCUUGUGUAUUCAUGGCAAAACAGAAGGAGAGGAAAAGGAAACAUUCUCCAUCUUCAGAAAGUUACAGUGGAAAGGGACUGCUGUUCUUCUUCAGCGCAAAGGAACGGUGUUGUUUUCACUUAGCAUCCAAAAUGCUUACAUUUCAGAGCCAGGACAGGAUUUUAUUUGUGGAAAUCAAAACCCAUUAUUGUGUGUGCACACUUACAAAAACUCACCACCUCUGGAGUGAAAUGUGGCAGCUGUUUCACAAAUAAGAAGCAAUUUCCACUGAUGAAAUGCAGGCAGUGCAGCAGAUAAUAGCCUAGCCUACUGCCUUACAAACCUUCCUCUUUUGGAGAUUCUUUCUUUUUUUCCUCCCCUCUCUCCCUUUGAUGGAAACCACCUUUCCAUCAGACUCAGCAGACUAACUGGGAUUUCAAACAUCCUAGGAGUGGCAGCGUGUCCCCCAGACACGUAUCCACAUGCAUAAUGUGUUUGCUGUGUUUUCCAGCCAGCAGAUGGUUGCCUGGUUGUAUUCAAUCAAAGUGUUUUUGCUACUAAGUGCCCUGAUUUUUCCACAGAAAAAUAACCCAGAUGGAGGUCACAAAUGCAGAACCACGGUGCCUCACCCAAGCCUUCCUCUCCUGUACCAUCAGUAGAGAAAUGUUAUUUACAAAAGCACCUGCCUUUCCAGGCAUGCUGUACCCUGUAGGUAUCCAAUACCCCUGUGCUGAAGCGCCUGCCUUGAAUUAAAAGAAAGCUACCCCAUCUUUCGCUCAGCUUUUAGCCCCUUCCACCUUGUAACAAGAUGGCAGUGUACCAGUUAUUAAAACCUAACACAAUAAUAGCCAGCAAUACUUUCCUUGCCUCAGCUGUUUGUAAGAUGAAAUACUGGCACUUCCCCACAAGGCUUUAUCCCUUCUGAAAUCCUACUCAGCGUUCUGGACUGACAGACAUUGAGCCCCAGAGGAAUUUCUACUGAGACUACAUGCAGAUGCUCCAGCACUAACAAAGCCUGCUCACUGUGUAAUAACGCACACUAUUGCCCUGAUGCCAGGAUGUCAUAGGAGCUCUGCGUGAUGGUAAGCCUGGGGUGCUGUGCUCCACUGAUGCACACAACUGAAGAAAAGGAAAGAGGACAAAUAUUUGUACCACUCCUGUGACCACGAAGACCAAAGCGAUGACCAAAUUCCUGGGAGGUGCAUGUUUGAAGAAGGCUCAUUUCAACAACUGAGAAUAAUGCAUUUUCCAAUUUCUCAGUGCAGAAAGCCUGAUAUAUCCACCUACCUCCUUAAGUGCAGUGAGUGGCCUGCACUGAGCUCU